RNAcentral lists this ribosomal RNA (495 nucleotides) under uncultured bacterium. RNAcentral's name for it is "partial 16S ribosomal RNA". It matches the Rfam family "Bacterial small subunit ribosomal RNA", at positions 28 to 505 of the family's 1533-position model. The record is from RNAcentral.
GAUGAACGCUGGCGGCGUGCCUAAUACAUGCAAGUCGAGCGAACAGACGAGGAGCUUGCUCCUCUGACGUUAGCGGCGGACGGGUGAGUAACACGUGGAUAACCUACCUAUAAGACUGGGAUAACUUCGGGAAACCGGAGCUAAUACCGGAUAAUAUAUUGAACCGCAUGGUUCAAUAGUGAAAGACGGUUUUGCUGUCACUUAUAGAUGGAUCCGCGCCGCAUUAGCUAGUUGGUAAGGUAACGGCUUACCAAGGCAACGAUGCGUAGCCGACCUGAGAGGGUGAUCGGCCACACUGGAACUGAGACACGGCCCAGACUCCUACGAGAGGCAGGAGUAGGGAAUCUGCCGCAAGGGGCGAAAGCCGGACGGAGCAACGCCGCGUGAGAGAUGAAGGUCUGGGGAUCGAAAAACUCUGUUAUUGGGGAAGAACAAAUGUGUAAGUAACUAUGCGCGUUUUGACGGUACCUAAACAGAAAGCCAGGGCUAACUACG